This is a long non-coding RNA of Anopheles darlingi, 916 nucleotides long. RefSeq lists it as uncharacterized. NCBI's taxonomy places the organism in Eukaryota, Metazoa, Arthropoda, Insecta, Diptera, Culicidae. The transcript is spliced from 3 exons. The record is from RefSeq and is a predicted model, not a curated record.
UCGGUCACUACUCCUAAGACCACAUAAGAGGUUUGCAAGUGUGAGCCGCGCAAAGAGAACAAAGGAAUGCGAUCCAGACGGUAGCCGAGAAUAAUGAGUUCUAAGAAGAAAAACACCACCGGCGCGUGAUUCCAUAGGCGAGGCAGUUGCUUUUUCAUUCCCGUUACGUCAGCCUAAGGAAGUGCACAAACGAGAUCAUAUCGAGUUCGCAAAAUUUGUCGCAUCGAAGCAGUAAACAGUGCAUUUAGUUUUCGAAUAAUUAUUCGUGGUUUUGUGCGCUUAUAGCAACAUUCGGUGGUGCAUUGCAUACAGCUGUGGUUUUGGACGGCGACGAGUUCGCGGAUUGACAGCCUAAGUGCAGUGACCGUACGCAUUUAAUUUGCGAGUUGUGAAAAGUGACUGCAUCGGCCAGUAACUCCUCAACCCUCGAGAAUCUAAAGUAUAAACAACUGCAAAAUGGCUGCUGAUCGCGUUUGUUUGGAUAUUCUGCGCGCAUACUAUUCGCUUUCAUCAGGCGAACUAGAAAUAAUGGAUAUGUGGAACCAGCAUCGAUCAAUCGAAGGCUCUAUCACAGACUCGCAAAUACCGGCGUCGGUGGAAACUUUCAUUGAUGCCAAUGCAACAAAAAUCUGGGAGCGCGAUUUGUAUCAACCGUUCCUGACUCUUUUGGAACACCUACGUCUAGAGGGGCUGAUUACAACAGAAUGGAAGAACAUGAUGGUAACCCGUAUUCUGAACCAACGCCCAACCCAACCAACGGGAGAAGGAGGAGUUGUGUGAGUACUUCGAAAAGUAUGGAAAAUAGCGAGCCGGCGCCCGGAGGCGCGAGCAGCUAAGGAGGCUCUCCACGCUCCCCAUUCCGCUCUCUAACAGAAGCCCGAUAAUGAAGUAAAUAAAGGAAAAAAACAUUCCGCCC